UCGGGAAUUUUGCUCAAUGGGGGAAACCCUGAAGCAGCAACGCCGCGUGAGGGAUGAAGGCCUUCGGGUUGUAAACCUCUUUUGUCAGGGACGAUGAUGACGGUACCUGGCGAAUAAGCCACGGCUAACUACGUGCCAGCAGCCGCGGUAAUACGUAGGUGGCAAGCGUUGUCCGGAUUUACUGGGCGUAAAGAGCGCGCAGGCGGUCGGGUAAGUCGAAUGUGAAAGCCCCUGGCUCAACCAGGGAGGGUCAUUCGAUACUGUCCGACUCGAAGGCAGGAGAGGGAAGCGGAAUUCCGGGUGUAGUGGUGAAAUGCGUAGAUAUCCGGAGGAACACCAGUGGCGAAGGCGGCUUUCUGGCCUGUUCUUGACGCUGAGGCGCGAAAGCUAGGGGAGCAAACGGGAUUAGAUACCCCGGUAGUCCUAGCCGUAAACGAUGGACACUAGGUGUUGGUGGUAUCAACCCCGCCAGUGCCGAAGCUAACGCAUUAAGUGUCCCGCCUGGGGAGUACGGCCGCAAGGCU
This 524-nucleotide ribosomal RNA is filed under the name uncultured bacterium. Its description in RNAcentral is "bacterial SSU rRNA". It matches the Rfam family "Bacterial small subunit ribosomal RNA", at positions 355 to 895 of the family's 1533-position model. The record is from RNAcentral.